Molecule: ribosomal RNA, 459 nt
Filed under: uncultured bacterium
Lineage: Bacteria
Description: partial 16S ribosomal RNA
Rfam family: Bacterial small subunit ribosomal RNA
Source: RNAcentral
CCUACGGGGGGCUGCAGUGAGGAAUAUUGGUCAAUGGCCGCAGGUCUGAACCAGCCAAGUCGCGUGAGGGAUGACGGUCCUAUGGAUUGUAAACCUCUUUUGUCAGGGAACAAAGGGCGCCACGUGUCGCCUUUUGCGAGUACCUGAAGAAAAAGCAUCGGCUAACUCCGUGCCAGCAGCCGCGGUAAUACGGAGGAUGCGAGCGUUAUCCGGAUUUAUUGGGUUUAAAGGGUGCGCAGGCGGAAUGUCAAGUCAGCGGUAAAAUUUCGGGGCUCAACCCCGUCGUGCCGUUGAAACUGGCGGUCUUGAGUGAGCGAGAAGUAGGCGGAAUGCGUGGUGUAGCGGUGAAAUGCAUAGAUAUCACGCAGAACUCCGAUUGCGAAGGCAGCAUACCGGCGCUCAACUGACGCUCAUGCACGAAAGCGUGGGUAUCGAACAGGAUUAGAUACCCGGGUAGUC